GCUUAUGUACAUUCCUACAACAUAGAACUAAUGCAUCAGAUCCCAUUAGAAAUCCAUAUUUAAGCUUGCUUGGGAUUGAGUAUUACUGGUAUGGGUGACCACCUAGGAAUUCCUAGUGUUUUACAUGCC
Molecule: non-coding RNA, 129 nt
Organism: Picea glauca (white spruce)
Lineage: Eukaryota; Viridiplantae; Streptophyta; Pinopsida; Pinales; Pinaceae
Source: Rfam